CUGGAAGCUAUUAAUAUUAUAGCAUAGAUUAUUAUACUUUCUAACAAGUUAGCUAACUACAUAAUCAACCAGGUUCACGCGUUUAAUACGUAUCUUACAUGAACUUGUUUAGUACCAAUCUUGAAAAGCAGAAUCAUCACUAGGGCAAUAAACGAGUGAAAAAUUCAAAGGUCGAUGUCCAAUAAUUUGAUCCAGAAAAGUACUAACGAUUUCAAAAUAAACAAAGAAAAGCCACUUACCAAUCCAUCACCUAUAGUAAAUUUAUGAAAAAAACCCAGAUCGACUUUUUCCAAAAGCAAACUGUAUACGGUCAAAAUCAGGUAUGCCUGAUUUUCCGGGCUCGAGAAGUCGCUUCAAGCCCAAGUUCAGGUAAGAUCGAGUUCGAGCUCGAUGGACCAAACUCGAACUCGAAGACAGAAUGCUGUGCCAGAGGAUCGAAGUGUUCGAGAAAUAUCGGAGCCAAGUAUAACCAACUCUGAAAUAGUGCCGUUAUGAGUUUGUUACAUAAGGACAAGAUUCUCGCCACGUCCCCAAGAUCAUGGCGUAAAUUUCGGAAUUAAUUUGUACGAAUUAGUACAAAUCCGUAUUAGGCGGUUAUACAGCUGUCCCAAUAAGAUUUUUUUACUGUAAAUGGAAAUGUACCUUAUUUAGGGCUCCCCUCCUAUAUAAAAGGGACCCCAAUCAUUUGUAAGAAUAAUCUAAUCAUCGGCAAAUAAUAUAUUAUCUUACUUUCUCGCUCAUUGUUCAUCAGAGUUGUACUUUAACUGUAUCAUUCUUGCUUUCUUGUUCUAGACCAUCUCGAGGUCACUAGGCUCGAGGUCGAGACUGACCUAUCUACUGGUUUGAUCUUACUUAUUUUCUUCCUCUAUACUUCAUAUUGCUUGAUUAUUAAUUGGUAUUGAACUAGAUCACAUAUCUUUAAAACCACAAAUCAAAUUUAAUUGUUACUCGUAAUUUCGGAGUAAACACAAACCAUAACAAUCAGCAGAAACCCCUCAUUCCAAAAAAAUAAAAAUGAAAGCUUGAUUUGGAUCUAUAGCAAAAAACCCCAGAACCCAGUUUAGGCACAAACAAAAUUCUGAAUUGAUUAAAGGGGGUGAAUAGCUUGAUUAAAGUUCAACUUGAGUUUCUGUAUAAACACAUGCAGGUAUAUACACUCAUAAUUCUCUCUGGUAAGUAGAUGGAAAGUAAGUGAAACUUCACACCUGGGUAUAGCGAUUCCUAAAUGCAACGUUCACUUAGGUCCGACGAACCCAAUGCAAGAAGCUCCCAAUUCUUUUCCGAAAUGCGUUGUUCACUGAUUUGCCAACUAUUAG
This 1316-nucleotide long non-coding RNA is filed under the name Nicotiana tabacum (common tobacco). Its description in RNAcentral is "long non-coding RNA (NTAB_LNC002481)". The record is from RNAcentral. Lineage: Eukaryota; Viridiplantae; Streptophyta; Magnoliopsida; Solanales; Solanaceae.